UACGUAGGGUCCAAGCGUUAUCCGGAAUCACUGGGCGUAAAGCGCACGUAGGCGGACUGUUAAGUCGGGGGUGAAAUCCUGGGGCUCAACCUCAGAAUUGCCUCCGAUACUGGCAGUCUCGAGUGCGGGAGAGGUGAGUGGAACUCCCAGUGUAGAGGUGAAAUUCGUAGAUAUUGGGAAGAACACCAGUGGCGAAGGCGGCUCACUGGCCCGUAACUGACGCUGAGGUGCGAAAGCGUGGGGAGCAAACAGG
RNAcentral lists this ribosomal RNA (253 nucleotides) under uncultured bacterium. Its description in RNAcentral is "partial 16S ribosomal RNA". It matches the Rfam family "Bacterial small subunit ribosomal RNA", at positions 524 to 776 of the family's 1533-position model. The record is from RNAcentral.